AUUUUCAAGGCGCGUGUAAAAGAGUUCGAUGAUGCGCUGGCCCAGGAUGUGGUUGACCUAAAGGAGCUGCGCAGACUGACGUUUAAUGGUGUGCCCGAUGUACAAAGCUUCCGUGCACUCAGCUGGAAACUGCUGUUGGGCUACUUGGGACCAAG
This is a long non-coding RNA of Drosophila persimilis, 155 nucleotides long. RefSeq lists it as uncharacterized. NCBI's taxonomy places the organism in Eukaryota, Metazoa, Arthropoda, Insecta, Diptera, Drosophilidae. The record is from RefSeq and is a predicted model, not a curated record. The transcript is spliced from 3 exons.